This 129-nucleotide non-coding RNA is filed under the name Streptococcus pyogenes. Lineage: Bacteria; Bacillati; Bacillota; Bacilli; Lactobacillales; Streptococcaceae. The record is from RNAcentral.
GCAACAACGACUUUAAUGAUUUUGGGUCGAAGCGUAAUUGUAAAGUUUGUUAUGCGUUAUGAGGUAAAGCAUUGUCUGACAAGGCAAUGUCUAGAGGCAAUCGUAUGUGGCUUGGUUGAAGCUGUUUGC